This 319-nucleotide ribosomal RNA is filed under the name uncultured eukaryote. RNAcentral describes it as "partial 18S ribosomal RNA". It matches the Rfam family "Eukaryotic small subunit ribosomal RNA", at positions 1470 to 1796 of the family's 1831-position model. The record is from RNAcentral.
CCCUUAGAUGUUCUGGGCGGCACGCGCGCUACAAUGGUCUUCGCAAACGGAUGCAUUCUCGAAGGAGAAUGCCAAUCUUGGAAUCUAUGCCUUGGUCGGGACAGUUGCUUGCAAUUUUUCGACUCGAACCAGGAAUUCCUUGUAAUCGUGAUUCAUCACAUCACGAUGAAUACGUCCCUGCCCUUUGUACACACCGCCCGUCGCUCCUACCGAUCGAAGAGUUAGGUGAAUUGUUUUGAUCGAUAAGAUUUGACUAUGGUCAACUCUCGUUGUGAAAUUCUGUGAAUCUGACUGUUUAGAGGAAGGAAAAGUCGUAACA